GUGCCAGCAGCCGCGGUAAGACAGAGGGUGAAAACGUUGUUCGGAAUUACUGGGCGUAAAGCGUGUGUAGGCGGCUAAGUAAGUCGGAUGUGAAAGCCCCGGGCUCAACCCGGGAAGUGCACUCGAUACUGCCUAGCUAGAGUGUCGGAGAGGUUGGUGGAAUUCUCGGUGUAGAGGUGAAAUUCGUAGAUAUCGAGAGGAACACCGGUGGCGAAGGCGGCCAACUGGACGAACACUGACGCUGAGACACGAAAGCGUGGGGAGCAAACAGGAUUAGAUACCCCCGUAGUCC
This 292-nucleotide ribosomal RNA is filed under the name uncultured bacterium. RNAcentral's name for it is "partial 16S ribosomal RNA". It matches the Rfam family "Bacterial small subunit ribosomal RNA", at positions 505 to 796 of the family's 1533-position model. The record is from RNAcentral.